AGCUUCGGCUAUCUAGUUGCGAACGGCUGAGUAACACGUAGGAAUCUACCUUUCGGUGGGGAAUACCCAUGGGAAACCAUGGCUAAUACCGCAUAAGAUCUCCGGAUGAAAGGGCUUAACUGCCCGCCGAAAGAGGAGCCUGCGUACCAUCAGUUUGUUGGUAGGGUAACGGCCUACCAAGACUACGACGGUUAGGGGGUGUGAGAGCAUGACCCCCCAGAGAGGCACUGAGACACGGGCCUCACAUCUACGGAUGGCAGCAACCGGGAAUCGUGCGCAAUGGACGAAAGUCUGACGCCGCGACGCCGCGUGUGGGAUGAAGGUCUUCGGAUUGUAAACCACUUUUGGUUGAGUCGAGAGACUCUUAAGAAUAAGCGCCCGCUAACUACGUGCCAGCAGCUGCGGUAAUACGUAGGGCGCAAGCGUUGCCCGGAUUUAUUGGGCGUAAAGGGUUCCGUAGGCGUCUUGGCAAGGUAUUCUUCAAAUACUGGGGCUUAACCUCAGGCAGGGGAGUAAUACUGCCAGGAUUGAAAUAUUUCGGGGCUACUAGAACUAUCGGUGUAGGGGUGAAAUCCGUUGAUAUCGAUAGGAAUUCCAAGGGCGAAGGCGGGUAGCUAGGAAUAAUUUGACGCUGAUGGACGAAAGCUAGGGUAGCGAA
RNAcentral lists this ribosomal RNA (658 nucleotides) under uncultured Microgenomates group bacterium. RNAcentral describes it as "bacterial SSU rRNA". It matches the Rfam family "Bacterial small subunit ribosomal RNA", at positions 76 to 772 of the family's 1533-position model. The record is from RNAcentral.